This 1567-nucleotide long non-coding RNA is filed under the name Phoenix dactylifera (date palm). Its description in RNAcentral is "long non-coding RNA (PDAC_LNC009955)". Lineage: Eukaryota; Viridiplantae; Streptophyta; Magnoliopsida; Arecales; Arecaceae. The record is from RNAcentral.
UGAUUUCAGAUUUAAUUACAAGAAUUAAAACAUAAAAGUUUAAACAUGAACCUGGCUCUGAUACCACUGUUGGGGGAGUCUCCACUCCUACAUAGGAUCGGUCCUAUUAAAAAUAGGGUGACACCCAUGUAUACCUAUCAGAGCACGCAUCUCUAUACGCCUCCGGACGGAGAGCCACGCUUCGUCACACGAUCACGCGUGAGAGUUUCCGGAGAUCGGUCACAACUCUUGGACCUUUGCUCUGAUACCACUGAAAGUGGAUCCUAGGUUCUUCGGUAUUAAGCAUUCUGUAAUUUUUUUUUUUAAACCAUGGCUGAACCUGAUUGGGUUGCCUACGUACCUCUUCAUAAGGGGGAUCAAGCCAUACAUAGUUCUUUUAAAUUUUAAAACGCAGCGGAAAAAUCGAAUCAAACAAUUUAAUUCAUGCAUGCUUACAAGAUCAAAUCUAGAAAUCAGCACCUUAAGAACACAUAAGAUUAUGCUGGAAUCGUUUAAACAAUUAUGCUAAAACUUUCAUGUAUGAUUAACUAUCAGAUCUGAAACUUAAGAACUCUAUUUCGAUUAAUCUCCGAAUAUCCAUCGAAUGGAUUCUGGAGAUAACUCCGUGAGGAGCCCCAAAGGAGGGUAAAACCUCGGGAGUCAGACCUAGACCCUGACUCCAAAAUAAAAUAUUGAUGUGGGAUUAAUACCUUUUAUGAUGGAAGAAACUUAUGGAUCUAAUCCUUGACUUCGCAGCCACGUACACGAAUGGCCUCUAUGAGAAGUACACGCAAAGCCCUAAGUAGAUCGUCUUCCGCGGGAGUGCUAGCUCGCGCAGGAACGCAGCAAUGGCUGAAGCUUUCUCCUUCUAAACACUCAACCUUUGAUUGUUCUUCAAGGAGAUGGAGGAUGGACGUGAGGAAGAAGGAGAAGAAGGGAUGGAGGCCCUCAAAGAAUUUUUUCAGAAUUUUUUGAAACCUCUAAAUAUGGUAUAUCUUGAACCUAAGGCAUGGGGGUCUUUUAUAGCCAAAAGACCACCCCACGCCUCACACCUAAUUUAGCCAACUAAUUUGGCUGAUAAAAUUCCCAAAAAAUUUUGGUGGUUUGGCAGCUAAGAGGAUAUAAACAUAUCCAAAUUUUGUACAUUUUGAAUCCCUAAAAGAUAGGAAUUCAUGCGUCCAAAUUUCAGCCGCAGACCACCCUAUUUCAUGCACCAUGCAAUCCCUACAAAUUAGGAAAUUCAUAUAAAUCUUUCUAGAAAGAUUUAAGGCUCCAUUUUUAUAGAAAAUAUAGCCCCACGCCUCCUCUCUUAUCACGCCAAUUUUUGGCCAAAAAUAAAGAGGAUAGGUGUAGAAAAUAUUGGGGAUAAAUUAAGGUGUCAUUCUUCUCCAAGAAGAUAAGGAUGGGUUCCUAAAAUUUAGGGAUUCUUCUCCUUAUCCAAUUCUGAUUAUUUGGACUCAUAAUCCUCAUCAAAUAAAGGUCUUCUAAUUGAUUUGGAUCAAGCCCAAUCUNNNNNNNNNNNNNNNNNNNNNNNNNNNNNNNNNNNNNNNNNNNNNNNNNNNNNNNNNNNNNNNNNNNNNNNNNNNNN